RNAcentral lists this ribosomal RNA (460 nucleotides) under uncultured bacterium. RNAcentral describes it as "partial 16S ribosomal RNA". It matches the Rfam family "Bacterial small subunit ribosomal RNA", at positions 338 to 795 of the family's 1533-position model. The record is from RNAcentral.
CCUACGGGGUGCAGCAGUGAGGAAUAUUGGUCAAUGGACGCAAGUCUGAACCAGCCAUGCCGCGUGCAGGAAGACGGCUCUAUGAGUUGUAAACUGCUUUUGUACGAGGGUAAACGCAGAUACGCGUAUCUGUCUGAAAGUAUCGUACGAAUAAGGAUCGGCUAACUCCGUGCCAGCAGCCGCGGUAAUACGGAGGAUUCAAGCGUUAUCCGGAUUUAUUGGGGUUAAGGGGUGCGUAGGCGGUCGGAUAAGUUAGAGGUGAAAUCCCGAGGCUCAACUUCGGAAUUGCCUCUGAUACUGUUCGGCUAGAGAGUAGUUGCGGUAGGCGGAAUGUAUGGUGUAGCGGUGAAAUGCUUAGAGAUCAUACAGAACACCGAUUGCGAAGGCAGCUUACUAAGCUACUUCUGACGUUGAGGCACGAAAGCGUGGGGAGCAAACAGGAUUAGAUACCCUGGUAGUC